AUUGAACGCUGGCGGCAUGCCUUACACAUGCAAGUCGAACGGCAGCACGGGUGCUUGCCCCUGGUGGCGAGUGGCGAACGGGUGAGUAAUACAUCGGAACAUGUCCUAUAGUGGGGGAUAGCCCGGCGAAAGCCGGAUUAAUACCGCAUACGAUCUACGGAUGACAGCGGGGGACCUUCGGGCCUCGCGCUAUAGGGUUGGCCGAUGGCUGAUUAGCUAGUUGGUGGGGUAAAGGCCUACCAAGGCGACGAUCAGUAGAUGGUCUGAGAGGACGACCAGCCACACUGGGACUGAGACACGGCCCAGACUCCUACGGGAGGCAGCAGUGGGGAAUUUUGGACAAUGGGCGAAAGCCUGAUCCAGCAAUGCCGCGUGUGUGAAGAAGGCCUUCGGGUUGUAAAGCACUUUUGUCCGGAAAGAAAUCCUUGGCUCUAAUACAGUCGGGGGAUGACGGUACCGGAAGAAUAAGCACCGGCUAACUACGUG
This 486-nucleotide ribosomal RNA is filed under the name uncultured bacterium. RNAcentral describes it as "partial 16S ribosomal RNA". It matches the Rfam family "Bacterial small subunit ribosomal RNA", at positions 30 to 507 of the family's 1533-position model. The record is from RNAcentral.